GAUCCACCUGCCUCAGCCCAAAGUGCUUGGAUUGCAGGUGUGAGUCACCGCACCUGGCCUAAUUUUUGUAUUUUUAGUAGAGAUGAGGUCUUGCCAUAUUGCCCAGCCUAGUCUCGAAUUCCUGGGCUCAAGCCAUCCACCCACCUCGGCCUCCCAAAGUGCUGGGAUUACAGGUCUAAGGGUAAUUCUGCCUCCUCUUCAUUAUUCACUAUCUUCAAAAAAGAUAUUCUGAAAUUGUUUAACAGUUCCUUAAACAGUUCAAUAUAAAUUACUAUAUGACUAAACAAUCCCUCUCAUGGGUAUCUAUCCAAGAGAAAUGAAAACGGAUGACUACACAAAUAACUGUAUAUGGAUGUUCAUAUCAGCAUUCUUCAUAAUAGUCAAAACUGGAAACCAUUCAAGUACCCAUCAGCUGGCAAAUGGAUAAACAAAAUGUGGUACAUCCAUACAAUGGAAUGCGACUCAGCAACACACAGGAACACAUUCCUGAACAUGCUACAACAUGGAACAAACCUCACGGUAUGCUGAGAGAGAUCAGACACAAAUGACUACAUUGUGAGGCCGGGCACGGUGGCUGAAAGAUAAAUUUAAUAUAAAAGGUUUAGAUAGUAGGUAAUAAAAGUACUCCCCUUAUUAUUUUCCAAAGGUAGCAUCCAUAGAGAGAGUUGCAUUUUCAAUCAAUUCGUGGACAGAUCUGAAAUAAGGUUAUUGAGAGAAAUCAAGAAUGACUGAAGGCACAUCUUAUUUUAGGAAGAACAUUGUAGCAGGCAAAAUGUGUGCCCAUGAGAGGCAGUGUAGAGUUGGAUGGGUUGAGGGGAGUCCAGAGUCCAGGUGGCACUAUCUAUGUAUUAAGAUUCUGUUUUCUGGCCAGGCGCAGUGGCUCAUGCCUGUAAUCCCGGCGAUUUGGGAGGCCCAGGUGGGUGGAUAACCUGAGGUCAGGAGUUUGAGACCAGCCUGACCAACACGGCAAAACCCCGUCUCUGCUAAAAAUACAAAAAUUAGCUGGGCAUGGUGAUGCACGCCUGUAAUCCCAGCUACUCUGGAGGCUGAGGCAGGAGAAUCGCUUGAACCCAGGAGGCAAAGUUUGCAGUGAGCCAAGAUCAUGCCACU
This 1110-nucleotide long non-coding RNA is filed under the name Homo sapiens (human). Its description in RNAcentral is "HSALNT0052767". Lineage: Eukaryota; Metazoa; Chordata; Mammalia; Primates; Hominidae. The record is from RNAcentral.